CCUACGGGUGGCAGCAGUGAGGAAUAUUGGUCAAUGGACGAGAGUCUGAACCAGCCAAGUAGCGUGAAGGAUGACUGCCCUAUGGGUUGUACACUUCUUUUAUAUGGGAAUAAAAUGUUCCCCGUGUGGGAUUUUGUAUGUACCAUAUGAAUAAGGAUCGGCUAACUCCGUGCCAGCAGCCGCGGUAAUACGGAGGAUCCGAGCGUUAUCCGGAUUUAUUGGGUUUAAAGGGAGCGUAGGUGGAUUGUUAAGUCAGUUGUGAAAUUUUGCGGCUCAACCGUAAAAUUGCAGUUGAAACUGGCAGUCUUGAGUGCAGUAGAGGUGGGCGGAAUUCGUGGUGUAGCGGUGAAAUGCUUAGAUAUCACGAAGAACUCCGAUUGCGAAGGCAGCUCACUGGACUGCAACUGACACUGAGGCUCGAAAGUGUGGGUAUCAAACAGGAUUAGAUACCCUGGUAGUC
Molecule: ribosomal RNA, 460 nt
Filed under: uncultured bacterium
Lineage: Bacteria
Description: partial 16S ribosomal RNA
Rfam family: Bacterial small subunit ribosomal RNA
Source: RNAcentral